Long non-coding RNA from Oncorhynchus tshawytscha (Chinook salmon), 833 nucleotides. The record is from Ensembl. Lineage: Eukaryota; Metazoa; Chordata; Actinopteri; Salmoniformes; Salmonidae.
AGUCCUACCCGGUUAAAUAAAGGUGUUCUCAACUAGUCCUACCCGGUUAAAUAAAGGUGUUCUCAACUAGUCUACCCGGUUAAAUAAAGGUGUUCUCAACUAGUCUACCCGGUUCAAUAAAGGUGUUCUCAACUAGCCUACCUGGUUAAAUAAAGGUGAAAUCAAUAACAAUACCUGUAUAGCACAUGUUCAUAUGAAGUGGUCUCUGUUUGAAGUCAUCUUUUUGUACAGUUGUCCCCGUAUGAGUUUCAUGUCUAUGUGCGUUUGAGUGUUGUACUGCCUGGUUUCCUAGCCCGCCUGCUUGCCGUUAGGCUAGCCUGGUGCCAACUCUGUUUUGCGUUAUCACGUCAACUCCUUGUCAUAAUGGCACACACAUCUGGGAACAGGCUACAAUUCAGUAGGAAAUACAGCCAUCGAUUUCAUCCUCAAUUACCGUACUGAAUUUCAGUAACUACUCUUGCUCUCCCCCAGGACUAGGGUGAUGUUGACCCGGGAUGCUGAUCUUGGGUCAGUUUUGCAUUUCACUAAUGCUUAGGCUUGGGGAAGGUGGAAUCUGAUCCUAGAUCUGUAUCUAGGGGAAUCUGAUCCUAGGUCUGUAUAGUAGGGGAAUCUGAUCCUAGAUCUGUAUCUAGGGGAAUCUGAUACUAGAUCUGUAUCUAGUGGAAUCUGAUCCUAGAUCUGUAUCUAGGGGAAUCUGAUCCUAGAUCUGUAUCUAGGGGAAACUGAUCCUAGAUCUGUAUCUAGGGGAAUCUGAUCCUAGAUCUGUAUCUAGGGGAAACUGCGCCUUGGUGUUACCAGUCUUUUUCUCUGCAGUUUUCCUUUAUAGAUCGUGG